This 100-nucleotide ribosomal RNA is filed under the name Salmonella enterica subsp. enterica serovar Enteritidis. RNAcentral's name for it is "partial 16S ribosomal RNA". It matches the Rfam family "Bacterial small subunit ribosomal RNA", at positions 1 to 94 of the family's 1533-position model. The record is from RNAcentral. Lineage: Bacteria; Pseudomonadati; Pseudomonadota; Gammaproteobacteria; Enterobacterales; Enterobacteriaceae.
UUAAAUUGAAGAGUUUGAUCAUGGCUCAGAUUGAACGCUGGCGGCAGGCCUAACACAUGCAAGUCGAACGGUAACAGGAAGCAGCUUGCUGCUUCGAUGA